AGGUCGCGGGGCAGCCGGGGCGGAAGGGGCUUGUUCAUUAUUUUGAGAGUUUGUUGUGAACGUCAUAACCUUUCGUCCUUAAAUAUUGCCGAUACUUGACCUACGCAAGAGACAAUGUCAUGUGAUUCAGCCUAAUAUCUCAGAGGAUGCAGCAUUCAAGGUUCUAUCUUGGAAGCAGAGACUGUGCCCUCACCAGAUGCUGAACCUGCUGAGCACCCUGAUCUUCCACUUCACCUUCAUCAGAACUGUUUUCGUAUCAGGAUGAUGCUGGCCUCAUACAAUGAGUUAGGGACGCGCAUGAAAUUUGGUGCCGUGACUCGGAUCGGCGGACCUCCCUUAGGAGAUCAAUCCCCUGUCCUCCUGCUCUUUGCUCCAUGAGAAAGAUCCACCUACGACCUAAGGUCCUCAGACCAACCAGCCCAAGAAACAUCUCACCAAUUUCAAAUCCGAAAUCCUUCAUCUAAUCUGGCAAACACAUGUGGCAGGUUUUUCUCACCGCAUAAAAUAUGUUAUAGAGUAGUCCAUCUAUUUCUCUUCCAUGGAAGAGUUCAUCUGGUAGAUUGGACUACCACUUUUCCUUGUCCCGAGUUCUCAUCCCGCAUCCAGGAAGAAUGAGGUUAUGUGGACACCUGGAGGGUGAGCGAGGCUGAGAAAAGCUUUAUUGGGCAACCAGACAGCUCUCAGAAGAGAGGUGACCUGAAGCAGGUUCAGGUGUACAUGUGCAGAUUUGUUGCAUGGGUAAACUGUAUGACAUGGGGAUUUGGUGUACAUAUUAUUUCAUCACCCAGGAAGAGGAAGAAGAAGAGGGAGGAAGGAGAGAAAAAAGGAAGGAAGGAAAGAAGAAAAGAAAAAAGAAUGAGAGAGAGAGAACAAAAGCAUCACCAAUAAGUGACGCUAGGAGCUAGCCCAAUGCAGAAGAAUGAAAUUGGACCCUUUUCUUUCACCAUAUACAAAAACUCACUCAAGAUGGGUGAAAGACUUAAAUGUAAAACCUAAAACUGUAAAAACCCUAGGAAACCUACGAAAUGUCAUUCUGGAUAUAGACCCUGGCAAGGAUUUCAUGAUAAAGACUCCAAAAGCAAUUGCAACAGAAACAAAAAUUGACAAGUAGAAUAUAAUUAAAGAGCUUCUGCACAGCAAAAUAAACAAUCAAAAGGGUAAACAGACAACCUACAGAAUGGGAAAAUGUAUUUGCAAACUAUGCAUCUGAUAAAGGUCUAAUAUCCAGCAUCUAUAAGGAACUUAAACAACUCUACAAGAAAAAACAAACAACCCCACCAAAAUUUUCUUAGAAUAGUCAAAAAAAUAGACAAAGAACAUGAACAGAGAAGACAUGCAUGCAGCCAAGAGAAGACAUGCUUCUCAAGAGAAGACAUGCAUGCAGCCAACAAGCAUAUGAAAAAAAUACUCAACAUCACUCAUCAUCUGAGAACUGCAAACCAAAACCACAAUGAUUUACCGUCUCACAGCAGUCAGAAUGGCUAUUAUAAAAAGUCAAAAAAUAACAGAUACUGGUGAGGUUGUGAAGAAAAGGGAAUGCUUAUACACUGCCUGUGGGAAUGUAAAUUAGUUCAGCCACUGUGGGAAGCAAUUUAGAGAUUUCUCAAAGAACUUAGAACUUCCACUGGAAUUUUGAUAAGGAUUGCAUUGAAUUUGGUCUCUCUUUGGGUACCAUGAACACUUUAACAAUAGUAAUCCAUAAGCAUGUGGUAUUUUUCCAUAUAUUUGCUUCCAUUCAAAUUUUUGAACACUUUGAAGUUUACAUAAAUCUUUCUUUUCUUUUCAUUCCUCUUUCUUUCUGUCUCUUACUUUCUUUGUUCUUCCUUCCUUCUUUCCUUCCUUCCUUCCUCUUCUUCUUACUUCUAGUGGCAAUAAGAACAUAUUCUAGCUUUAAUCUGGUGAUUUAUAUUUAGUGAAUUUUUAAAAAUUGAGAAUAAUGAUUGAACUGUAAUUGGAAAUA
This is a long non-coding RNA of Homo sapiens (human), 1960 nucleotides long. Ensembl annotates it as long intergenic non-protein coding RNA 882. Lineage: Eukaryota; Metazoa; Chordata; Mammalia; Primates; Hominidae. The record is from Ensembl.